CACGUAGGUGGCGAGCGUUAUCCGGAUUUACUGGGCGUAAAGCGUGUGCAGACUGACUAGCAAGUGGUGUAUGAAAUCGCGGUGCUUAACACAGCGAGGUUAUGCCAGACUGCUGGACUAGAGUGCGAGAGAGGGAUGUGGAAUUCCGGGUGUAGUGGUGAAAUGCGUAGAGAUCCGGAGGAACCCCAGAGGCGAAAGCGGCGUCCUGGCUCGCAACUGACGUUCAGACACGACAGCAUGGGGAGCAAACGGG
RNAcentral lists this ribosomal RNA (253 nucleotides) under uncultured bacterium. RNAcentral's name for it is "partial 16S ribosomal RNA". It matches the Rfam family "Bacterial small subunit ribosomal RNA", at positions 524 to 776 of the family's 1533-position model. The record is from RNAcentral.